AUCUAGCUGACGAGUUCCAAAUAGGAUGAAACGCACAUCCUGAAU
This 45-nucleotide non-coding RNA is filed under the name Schistosoma mansoni. Lineage: Eukaryota; Metazoa; Platyhelminthes; Trematoda; Strigeidida; Schistosomatidae. The record is from RNAcentral.